GUCGUGAGAUGUUGGGUUAAGUCCCGCAACGAGCGCAACCCUUGUCUCAUGUUGCCAGCACGUUAUGGUGGGGACUCGUGAGAGACUGCCGGGGUCAACUCGGAGGAAGGUGGGGAUGACGUCAAGUCAUCAUGCCCCUUAUGUCCAGGGCUUCACACAUGCUACAAUGGCCGGUACAAAGGGCUGCGAUGCCGUGAGGUGGAGCGAAUCCUUGUAAAGCCGGUCUCAGUUCGGAUCGGGGUCUGCAACUCGACCCCGUGAAGUCGGAGUCGCUAGUAAUCGCAGAUCAGCAACGCUGCGGUGAAUACGUUCCCGGGCCUUGUACACACCGCCCGUCACGUCAUGAAAGUCGGUAACACCCGAAGCCGGUGGCCUAACCCGUAAGGGAGGGAGCCGUCGAAGGUGGGAUCGGCGAUUGGGACGAAGUCGUAACAAGGUAGCCGUACCGGAAGGUGCGGCUGGAUCACCUCCUUUCUAAGGAGCACCACGAGACUUGAGGGCCGGCCCACAUCGUGUGGGGAUAUCCGGAUUCUUGGGCGAUUCGUUGGAUGGCUUGUUCACCUGUAGUGGGUGCGAGUCUGGUGCACGCAAACUCUAAAACCGUCGCGUGGGUGGAUCUUCGGGUCGCCGGCGUGGGGGGAUCAUCGGACACACUGUUGGGCUUUGAGGCAACAGGCCCGCCUUCUCUUCGUCCCCUUGGGGAAACCGGGGAGGGUGUAUCGCCGCUGGGGACAGCGGGUGGUGGUUGAGUCUGGUGUCGCUCCAUCUUGGUGGUGGGGUGUGGUAUUUGAUUUGUGGAUAGUGGUUGCGAGCAUCUGGCGCGAUGAGGGCAUGCUCCUCUUUUUGGGGGGUGUGUGUUUUGUUGUGUCGAUGUGCAAUUUUUACUCAUUUUUGGUUUUUUGUGUUGUAAGUGUUUAAGGGCGCAUGGUGGAUGCCUUGGCAUUGAGAGCCGAUGAAGGGCGUUGGAGGCUGCGAUAAGCCUCGGGGAGCUGUCAACCGAGCGUUGAUCCGAGGAUGU
Molecule: small RNA, 1018 nt
Filed under: uncultured Mycobacterium sp.
Lineage: Bacteria; Bacillati; Actinomycetota; Actinomycetes; Mycobacteriales; Mycobacteriaceae
Description: bacterial SSU rRNA
Rfam family: Bacterial small subunit ribosomal RNA (bases 1-474)
Source: RNAcentral